This 502-nucleotide long non-coding RNA is filed under the name Ananas comosus (pineapple). RNAcentral describes it as "long non-coding RNA (ACOM_LNC001204)". The record is from RNAcentral. Lineage: Eukaryota; Viridiplantae; Streptophyta; Magnoliopsida; Poales; Bromeliaceae.
UAAUUUCAAAUUAAAUCUUUUUGAUUAUUACAUCAAUUCUAAUGGUCCAAUUUAGAUAGCCGAAUUAUGAUUUGACGUUGAUGUGGUAGUGAUGUAGCAUUUUAGCCAUUCUCAUACCAUCAAUUAUAAGUUCAAUUUAGAUUCAAAUUUAAAAGUUUAAUAUAAAUUUCAAAAUUAAAAUUUUACAUUACAAUACCAAUUUCAAAAAUUAAAUUUAAAUUCAAUAUUUUUUUGAGCUGGAUACUUAACAAAUUGGGUAUCAUCUAAUUUGGUAAGUUAUUAAAGUAAUAAGAUAUUUAAUACUUAAAGGAUGCUGAUAAAUUUGGUAUAUGCUAAUUUUUUUUCCAAUAUUGUCAUGUUAACUUAUUCAAAUCGGUAACCUGUUCAACAGGUUACUUCAUGUAAAUCCCAAUUAUACCUUUUAAUAUUUAUGGUGUAUUGAAGCAUUCCUCUAAUAAUAAUAAUCUAUAAUCUAUAAUUUAUAAUCUUCUAUAACACUAAU